This is a long non-coding RNA of Drosophila navojoa, 559 nucleotides long. The record is from RefSeq and is a predicted model, not a curated record. NCBI's taxonomy places the organism in Eukaryota, Metazoa, Arthropoda, Insecta, Diptera, Drosophilidae.
UAUAAAAUUAAAGUGAAAAAUGCAAAGUUGCUUUUGUGAAAUGUGCUUAAAGGAAGUGAAUGUGUACAUUAAUAUAAAACGCAUAUUACGCAAUCAUUUGCUAUGCCCAUCCAAGCCAAUGCACGUGAGUCUUUAUGCAUUUGUACUCUGCCAUCCAAACAUACCAAACGCUUGACAUUAAGAAAACAAACAGAACUACUCGAGCGUCAAGAGAAAUAUGUCAUUACGAGAAUUAUGAAAUAGCAGGGAAAAACACUUAGCAGUAAAUGAAAAAUUAUACGUAUGUUGACAACAGGACACGCCGCUAAACAAACACACACACACAGGCACACAUAUUGCGAGAAGGCCAUAAAUUAGCCCGCAUGCAGGCAUCAGCUCCGAUUAGAGAGGGAUUGGCUACCAGUACAUCGUUAAAAGAAUUAAAUAUUUUACAGCAUUUAUUUAUAUGCUGGAGAAUAUCAGGAAUAUCAGACAGAUUCAAAUUAUAAAAGGAGUAACUGCAAGCGAAUUCUUAAAAGGAUUUAAUAAUCAUCUUUUUAUAUGCUGAAUAAUAUCAUGA